ACGGUCUCGGGCCGUCCGAGUUGUAAUCUAGAGAAGCGUCUUCCGCGUCGGGCCGUGUACAGGUCUCCUGGAAGGGAGCAUCGUAGAGGGUGACAGUCCCGUCUUCGACACGGAAGGACCGACGCUGUGCGAUGCGCUCUCGACGAGUCGAGUUGUUUGGGAAUGCAGCUCCAAACGGGUGGUAAACUCCAUCUAAAGCUAAAUAUUGGCGAGAGACCGAUAGCGAACAAGUACCGUGAGGGAAAGAUGAAAAGGACUUUGGAAAGAGAGUCAAACAGUACGUGAAAUCGCUGGAAGGGAAACGCUCCGAGUCAGUCGCGUCCCCCGGGGAUCAACCCUGCGAUGCGUCGCUGGGCGUACUUCCCGGCGGGACGGGUCAGCAUCGAUCUCGGUCGUCGUAGAAGGACGAGGGCGAAAGUG
This 420-nucleotide ribosomal RNA is filed under the name Gyroporus subglobosus. Its description in RNAcentral is "Gyroporus sp. NKZ-2020c partial large subunit ribosomal RNA". It matches the Rfam family "Eukaryotic large subunit ribosomal RNA", at positions 124 to 539 of the family's 3401-position model. Lineage: Eukaryota; Fungi; Basidiomycota; Agaricomycetes; Boletales; Gyroporaceae. The record is from RNAcentral.